Non-coding RNA from Megalobrama amblycephala (Wuchang bream), 390 nucleotides. Lineage: Eukaryota; Metazoa; Chordata; Actinopteri; Cypriniformes; Xenocyprididae. The record is from the annotation of a RefSeq genome assembly.
AUGACCUUCAUCAUCAUCUUCAUCUGGACUCUCUUAUACUGCUUUAUACUACAAGGCUGUAGAGCUCAGAUCACAGUGACUCAGACUCCUGCAGUGAAAACUGUUAAACCAGGAGAAACUGUUGAGAUGAGCUGUAAACUCAGUACUGCUGCUGCAUCCUGUGGCUCGACACCCUGUGUGAGCUGGUACUUACAGAAACCUGGAGAAGCUCCUAAACUCGUGAUUUAUUACACAAACCGCCUCCAGUCUAGCCUGUCAGGAACUCCAUCUAGAUUCAGUGGCAGUGGAUCUAACAGUGAUUUCACUCUGACCAUCAGUGGAGUCCAGACUGAAGAUGCUGGACAUUAUUACUGUCAGAGUCGCCACAGUGGUGAUGUGUUCACACAGUGA